Molecule: long non-coding RNA, 2677 nt
Organism: Lagopus leucura (white-tailed ptarmigan)
Lineage: Eukaryota; Metazoa; Chordata; Aves; Galliformes; Phasianidae
Exons: 4
Source: RefSeq, a predicted model, not a curated record
AAUAGUAACAAUUCAUUGCAUUUAGUACUGUUAAGUACACUGUGAACAAUAGUUCCACCAUAAUACAUUACUGCAUAUAUAUGUAGCUGCUUACGUGCAGAAAUACUGUUUGCCAGACAUGCUGCCUUUAAAAAAUGCUUUCUUAAAAGAGAAAUUUUGGAUAACUGCAAACCUUCAUUGUAUUGUCAGCCCAGAAACACUACACAGCAGAGAGGCAAAGGCCCCACAGAAACUCCAGCUGACUGUCAAGUUCAGUUCAACCUGUGGGAGAAGCCUUCUCAGCUGGUCACAGGCAUACAGCUGACAGACAUCAGUUGGAGCUGAGGGCUCGUUAGCCUUACCUUCAGGAGCUGUGCUACAGGCAUGGCACUGUGUUGCGCAGUUCAGGAGCCGGUGGACAAGGGAGCAGACUUGGAGCAUCAUGAAAGAUGAACAACGGAACAUAACCAGGAUUUUUGUGGCGACCUUGUGGAGGCAAGUGAUCAAAUCAUGGAGUGAUGGUAAGAAGGGAAAGCUAAGGACCAUAGAUGGGCAGCUGCUGAAUAUAGAUUCCCAGUGUGGACAAAGCUUGUGACCUCAGGCAGCAGAAGAUGCUCUUCUUCACUAGCCUUAGGUAUGAAAUUUCAGAAUUGUUUUGAUGCUGUUGGAGACAAAGAAAGGGACAAGGUACAGUCGGGAAGGGCUCAGAGCUAGUUUAAAGCCAGAACUUUAAGCUAGUUUGUUGAGGGAUGGCAGUAACAAACCAGCGUAGAGUGUGAGAACACGGGUCAUUGGUGCUAAUACUGGGGCAUGUCGACAGGAGGUGGCCCUUGUGGAAGCUGCCAAAGGUUGAAGAGGGUCCACCUCAAGAGCCUGAAUGCAGUUCACAGCCAGGAAAAGACUAGGAGGAGCAAGAACUCCUGUGUGCAGACACAAAAUACAAUGAAGGUGUGAUGGGAUGGUACAUGUGGCUGCAGCUGCUUGGAUGCAGGGAGCCCUUUGGAAGGGGGUUAGCAGGCUGAUUUGGAGCCUUGCGAUGUAGGACGUAAGAGACCAAGUAUCCUGCUGUGGAGUUGGAUUAGGUUACCCAUUUCUCAUGAAGAAGUAGGUAGAGUUGUCUUGAAAGCAUCUCAAGGAACUCCGAAGUUGCAAACCAUGGUUAUUACAGGAGACUAAGUUCCCUGAUCAAUGCCAGAAAGCCACCAUGAGGGAUCUUGGAGGUUUCAGAAGGGAAUGAGAAACAACUGAACCAGUGCUGGACUGGCUAACAAGGCUGGUGCUCCUGGAUCUGCUGCAUGUCACUUUUAACUUGUGUUUUCCCUCCUCCCUGCUCCUAGAAAUGUCCCAGACUGGGAGGAAGGGGUUAACUCCAAAAAGCCUACUGAGAUGGUUUAGCAAAGUAUUUCACUAGAAACACUGUUACUAGUGUGGUUCUGUGAGCCAACUGCUGACCCCUUUCAUAGUUCUGUGGAUCGCACUUCAUAAACACAGGAGGAUGCAGUUCACCUCUGUAACAAUUUCAUUACUUUUGACACCCAGCAGUGCCAGGUGACAGUACAUCAGAAAAAAAUUCCCAGGUAGGUAUGAGAUAAAUGUAUUGAUCAGUACAAAGCAUAGAUUUGAACAAUAUGCCAACUGUAGAGUGCAGGCUGGACCAGAAAGCAAGAGAGAGGACGGCCAUGACAGAAAUAGUUUCACUUUGUUUUAAACACUGAACUGAAAACUAAUAGAUGUUUUUAGUAUUUGUUUUCUCUGCUGCUCCAAGACUGAGAGCAGUAAGCGUAAGAGUUCAUUGCCAUUGAUCAUGGCCUCUGCAAGCAAUUAUUUAUUCAAACUGAUGUUAAUAGAACCUGAAAAAUACAAGAAUCUGGCCUGCAUGUCACCUCUUCACUACUGAUGAGGCUGUGGCCCCUGGCUGGUGCCUUCCUCGGCAGUUGCUAUCUCAUCUGAUUGGCUUUGGUUUUCAGCAAUGCAAAGAGCCCGAGGAUUUUCUGGGUUACCGUGUGGCUUGGAACUCUGCUGAGAGCCGAAGGAGCUGAGAAAGCCGAGCGGUGCUGCGCGGGGUCACGAGAUGGCGCCUCCGCUUCCAGGCUGCGCGGGAACGCAGCUGCAACACGACUGCUGUCCUUAGCUCACUUCAGCUAGUCUAAAUCAGGUGCAGCUGAGGCAUCACUAGUGCUGCUCGAAGGAGACAUGACAUAAAGGAUUUUUAAUACUAUCAGAACCAGCGCUCCGUUCUUAUGAUGUGAACCGAGAGCAGCUCACGUAUUAUCUGCAGUAAGACCACCGCCAGCAACAAAAACGUCUGUACGUUCAAAAGGCAAACACCUACCGUCUUUGUUGUUGCAAACGAAGAUUAAGCAUUUAUCUAGCUGCUGCAUUGCUCUUCGUGGCUCACAAAAUCAGCAUGUGAGAAGCAAGCCUAGCUUUGGUACUCUUACACGGAGUCAUUUUUCUUUGAAGUAGAGACUUAACUGCUUUUUCUGUGUGAAACGUGUAUCAUUAGCACGCUAAUCAGAAUACAAAAAGCUCGCAAAGGGGAUAAUGAGGGAGAACUUGUAUGUAAUACUUGUUUUACAUCCACGUGACUCUGUAGAGAAAUGUUUUGUUUCGCUGAGCUGUCCUUAAUUUGAGGUUUCUUGCUUAAUGAGACUUCAAACAAAUUCUGCAUUGUGGGUUUCAGGUUUUCAUCCCAGAG